Molecule: ribosomal RNA, 493 nt
Filed under: uncultured bacterium
Lineage: Bacteria
Description: bacterial SSU rRNA
Rfam family: Bacterial small subunit ribosomal RNA
Source: RNAcentral
UGCYUAACACAUGCAAGUCGAACGGAGAUUGUAGCAAUACGGUCUUAGUGGCGAACGGGUGAGUAACGCGUUGGUGACCUGCCCCGAAGUGUGGGAUAACAGCUCGAAAGGGCUGCUAAUACCGCAUGUGGUUUUCUGGAUUAGAUGCCGGAUUUCUAAAGGAGUAAUUCGCUUCGGGAGGGGCCUGCGUCCCAUCAGCUAGUUGGUAGGGUAAUGGCCUACCAAGGCAAUGACGGGUAGGGGACCUGAGAGGGUGACCCCCCACAAUGGAACUGAAACACGGUCCAUACACCUACGGGUGGCAGCAGUAGGGAAUAUUGGUUAAUGGGCGAAAGCCUGAACCAGCAACGCCGCGUGUGCGAUGAAGGCCUUCGGGUUGUAAANGCACUUUUUGAGGGGAUGAGGAAGGACAGUACCCUCAGAAUAAGUCUCGGCUAACUACGUGCCAGCAGCCGCGGUAAUACAAGGCGNANUUCGCGCCGCNAAUNGGUNA